GAGUUUGAUCCUGGCUCAGGAUGAACGCUGGCGGCGUGCUUAACACAUGCAAGUCGAACGGGAAUGCCACGCUGAUGCGAUUUCGGUCAAAUCAUGUGGCAUUCGAGUGGCGGACGGGUGAGUAACGCGUGGGUAACCUGCCUUACACAGGGGGAUAACACCUGGAAACAGGUGCUAAUACCGCAUAAGCGCACAGGGCCGCAUGGCCCGGUGUGAAAAACUCCGGUGGUGUAAGAUGGACCCGCGUCUGAUUAGCUUGUUGGCGGGGUAGGGGCCCACCAAGGCGACGAUCAGUAGCCGGCCUGAGAGGGUGGACGGCCACAUUGGGACUGAGACACGGCCCAAACUCCUACGGGAGGCAGCAGUGGGGGAUAUUGGACAAUGGGGGAAACCCUGAUCCAGCGACGCCGCGUGAGUGAAGAAGUAUUUCGGUAUGUAAAGCUCUGUCAGCAGGGAAGAAAGAAAUGACGGUACCUGACCAAGAAGCCCCGGCUAACUACGUGCCAGCAGCCGC
RNAcentral lists this ribosomal RNA (514 nucleotides) under uncultured bacterium. RNAcentral's name for it is "bacterial SSU rRNA". It matches the Rfam family "Bacterial small subunit ribosomal RNA", at positions 9 to 518 of the family's 1533-position model. The record is from RNAcentral.